GAUUAACGCUGGCGGCGUGCCUAACACAUGCAAGUCGAACGAUGAAACUUAACUGAUUUCUUCGGAAUGAUUAUAAGUGGAUUAGUGGCGGACGGGUGAGUAACGCGUGAGUAACCUGCCUUGGAGAAGGGGAUAGCCUUUGGAAACGAAGAAUAAUACCCUAUGAUAUGAUCAUAUCCCAUGAUAUUAUCAUCAAAGAUUUAUCGCUCUAAGAUGGACUUGCGUCUGAUUAGUUAGUUGGUGAGGUAACCGCUCACCAAGGCAGCGAUCAGUAGCCGGCUUGAGAGAGGGUACGGCCCCAUUGGGACGGAGACACGGCCCAGACUCCUACGGGAGGCAGCAGUGGGGAAUUUGGCACAAUGGGGGAAACCCGGAUGCAGCGACGCCGCGUGAUUUAGAAGGACUUCGGGUUGUAAAAAUCUUUUGUAUGGGAAGAAAAUGACAGUACCAUACGAAUAAGGACCGGCUAAUUACGUG
Molecule: ribosomal RNA, 477 nt
Filed under: uncultured bacterium
Lineage: Bacteria
Description: partial 16S ribosomal RNA
Rfam family: Bacterial small subunit ribosomal RNA
Source: RNAcentral